UCAGGACGAACGCUGGCGGCGUGCCUAAUACAUGCAAGUCGAACGAACUCUGGUAUUGAUUGGUGCUUGCAUCAUGAUUUACAUUUGAGUGAGUGGCGAACUGGUGAGUAACACGUGGGAAACCUGCCCAGAAGCGGGGGAUAACACCUGGAAACAGAUGCUAAUACCGCAUAACAACUUGGACCGCAUGGUCCGAGUUUGAAAGAUGGCUUCGGCUAUCACUUUUGGAUGGUCCCGCGGCGUAUUAGCUAGAUGGUGGGGUAACGGCUCACCAUGGCAAUGAUACGUAGCCGACCUGAGAGGGUAAUCGGCCACAUUGGGACUGAGACACGGCCCAAACUCCUACGGGAGGCAGCAGUAGGGAAUCUUCCACAAUGGACGAAAGUCUGAUGGAGCAACGCCGCGUGAGUGAAGAAGGGUUUCGGCUCGUAAAACUCUGUUGUUAAAGAAGAACAUAUCUGAGAGUAACUGUUCAGGUAUUGACGGUAUUUAACCAGAAAGCCACGGCUAACUACGUGCCAGCAGCCGCGGUAAUACGUAGGUGGCAAGCGUUGUCCGGAUUUAUUGGGCGUAAAGCGAGCGCAGGCGGUUUUUUAAGUCUGAUGUGAAAGCCUUCGGCUCAACCGAAGAAGUGCAUCGGAAACUGGGAAACUUGAGUGCAGAAGAGGACAGUGGAACUCCAUGUGUAGCGGUGAAAUGCGUAGAUAUAUGGAAGAACACCAGUGGCGAAGGCGGCUGUCUGGUCUGUAACUGACGCUGAGGCUCGAAAGUAUGGGUAGCAAACAGGAUUAGAUACCCUGGUAGUCCAUACCGUAAACGAUGAAUGCUAAGUGUUGGAGGGUUUCCGCCCUUCAGUGCUGCAGCUAACGCAUUAAGCAUUCCGCCUGGGGAGUACGGCCGCAAGGCUGAAACUCAAAGGAAUUGACGGGGGCCCGCACAAGCGGUGGAGCAUGUGGUUUAAUUCGAAGCUACGCGAAGAACCUUACCAGGUCUUGACAUACUAUGCAAAUCUAAGAGAUUAGACGUUCCCUUCGGGGACAUGGAUACAGGUGGUGCAUGGUUGUCGUCAGCUCGUGUCGUGAGAUGUUGGGUUAAGUCCCGCAACGAGCGCAACCCUUAUUAUCAGUUGCCAGCAUUAAGUUGGGCACUCUGGUGAGACUGCCGGUGACAAACCGGAGGAAGGUGGGGAUGACGUCAAAUCAUCAUGCCCCUUAUGACCUGGGCUACACACGUGCUACAAUGGAUGGUACAACGAGUUGCGAACUCGCGAGAGUAAGCUAAUCUCUUAAAGCCAUUCUCAGUUCGGAUUGUAGGCUGCAACUCGCCUACAUGAAGUCGGAAUCGCUAGUAAUCGCGGAUCAGCAUGCCGCGGUGAAUACGUUCCCGGGCCUUGUACACACCGCCCGUCACACCAUGAGAGUUUGUAACACCCAAAGUCGGUGGGGUAACCUUUUAGGAACCAGCCGCCUAAGGUGGGACAGAUGAUUAGGGUGAAGUCGUAACA
This 1504-nucleotide ribosomal RNA is filed under the name Lactiplantibacillus plantarum. RNAcentral describes it as "bacterial SSU rRNA". It matches the Rfam family "Bacterial small subunit ribosomal RNA". The record is from RNAcentral. Lineage: Bacteria; Bacillati; Bacillota; Bacilli; Lactobacillales; Lactobacillaceae.